Molecule: non-coding RNA, 1702 nt
Organism: Macaca mulatta (Rhesus monkey)
Lineage: Eukaryota; Metazoa; Chordata; Mammalia; Primates; Cercopithecidae
Source: RefSeq, a predicted model, not a curated record
GGGCGCGCGACCCCCGGGGUCGCCCCGCCCGCGGCGCAGAGCCUCCGGGGCGGGGGAAGGCGCCCUGCGGCGCAGGGAGGGGCUGCCGUGGGACAAGCCUGGAGUUGUUGUUCUUCCCACGGCGAAACGGCCUCCUUUGCCGCGGUAGUUGUUUCCAGACCCGACGAAGCAGGUCCUCUCCGGCUGGAUGCUGUGACUGUGCAGUCUGCCAACAGCGAGAAUCAGUUCAAGCAGGGAGAAAGUUGUUCGGAGAGGGGGCGAGGAGUCCGGAGCUCCGCGCGGGGGACCUAGGAACCAGGGGGACCCAGGAACCAGGUGUCCGCGCUUGGGCGGCAGCGAGGCUGCGUGGCGGUUGCGGCAAGAACCACUGUUCACUCGGCUCCGGAUCGGGCCGUCUGCCCUUCCUAAGGAGGAACCUUCCUGCACAACUAAGUUGCCAUUCGGUCUUUGUAGGAGGGAGUUUGGGAUGGGAAUUUCGCACCUGUUUGCCUCUUCCCCCUCCCACCCUCGCCACCGCAUUCACUUUUUAGAGCCCUACCUUCUCAGUCGUUUAAAUGUUACUGUUUUUUUAAGUGACAUAUCUGUUAGUCACCUUUUAAAAUAUGAAGUACCUAUGCAAAUUUGAAUUAUGUGGUGAAAAAACACCUUUACGAUGAAAACAGCUUCUUUUAAGGCAAGGAAAUGACAAUUGACUAUAAUGCUAAAUGUAUCCGCUGAAAAAAGAGCCUACUUACACAUGAGAAUUACACGUUUUUCUCCAGCAUUUAUAUGUAGCGGCUUGGAAACGUCUGGAAAUCUAGAAGAUUCUGACAAGGAGACAAAUUUCUGAUACUUAAAGGCUCCGCGGCUCUCUGGGUGGAGAAAUUUAAAAACUAAGUUCUGAUAAGAUGUUUUAGCAUUCAACUAAAACAAUAAAAUAUUUAAAAUAGGGAAGUAAGAAAGAGGAAGAGAAACAAAGAACGGAAAUAAUUUACAGCAAUCUCAGAAAUUUAAUUCCAAAUUGCCAGAAGUCAUGCAUCACAUAAUCAUGGGGAUACAUUCCGAGAAAUUCAUCAUUGGAUGAUUUUGUCUUUGUGUGAACAUCAUAGAAUGGACUUACACAAACCUAGAUAGUAUAACCUACUCUCUGGGCUAUAUGGUAUAGCCUAUUGCUCCUGGACUACAAACCUGUACUGCUUAUUACUUUAGUGAAUACUGUAGAAAACUGUAACACGAUGGUAAGUAUUUGCGUGUCUAAACAUAGAAAAAAUACCAUAAAAAUAUGAUAUAAUCUAUGGGACCAGUGUAUAUGCAAUCUGUUAUUAAUCGAAUGUCACUAUGCAGCACAUGACUAAGUUUUUCAGCUUUGCUGUCACUCGUUAAAUAUUUGUAAGACCCUGGAUCUUCUUGUGCCAUCCCAGAAAUUUCUAACUGAGACCCAUGGAUCCUUUAUCACAGAUACGAACUCCACAAAUCCCCCUGAAAUCAUGUGCAAAAAUUUGUAGUUUCAUUUCUCUUUUUUUGUGGGAGUAGAUAUCAUACGUAUGUGAAGGGCUGUACACCCUCCCUGGCUGACAUCUGCUUUAACAGCUUCAACUGCAUCUAUGUCACCAACUCUUUUUUAUUAUAGGCAAGCUUUAUUAUGUAUGAACUUGAUUUCACAUGCAAAGUUAGAAUUACAAUUUCACUGAAAAUUAACUCAUUAAAAUAUAUAAACAUCACA